AGAAAAUGGGAAGAAGAAAGAUUGCAUUGAUUUUGAUUCUGAUCUAUUCAUCUAUGCUGCCUUUUUCAUCUGCUUUCAAACAACUCUUCCUAACCGACAACAGUAAUCACCAAGAAAGUGAGCAUAUGGAAAAACAAUAUGGUAGAAGAUACAAUGUAGAGGGUCGACAUGGUUAUACAAACGGGAUCCCAACACAUAUAGCAAUUACCCGCGGAGGAGGAAGAGGCGGCGGCGGCGGCGGCAGAGGUAACGGUGCCGCAGGAAUUCACGAUCAAAACUGCAUGGAGUUGAUAGCAGCUGCAGUUUCCAUAUCAGUUGCAUACUUGUGUGGACUUAUUUGAUAUAUGAAGAACAAUAAUACAUAUCGAUCCAAAAACAAUAUAUUCAAUAUUAGGUGGUGUGGAAAUUAAUAAGUUGUUCGAUGUUUUUGAUAAAAAUAAUUAUCCCAAUAUUGGGAUGCUUUUGUUUGAUUUGAUUGAAUAUAUAUAUAUGUAAAAUUUGUGGUAAACUAUAGUGAUUAAGCUGGAGUUAUUUGGGGUUUUGUAAAAGUAUGAGUUUGGAUUAUUGCACACAUUCGGUCGAUUUUGAUAAACUCGCAUAAGUGUAUUAGCGUGACCGUAAAGCUAGCCUUAUAGAUUGAUUGAAUCCCCCUAAAAAUUGUGAUACUAAGAACGUCGUUAUAUUGUAUUUUGGUCAUGCGUUAAGUUGAA
This is a long non-coding RNA of Cucumis sativus (cucumber), 710 nucleotides long. RefSeq lists it as uncharacterized. The transcript has 2 exons. The record is from RefSeq and is a predicted model, not a curated record. Lineage: Eukaryota; Viridiplantae; Streptophyta; Magnoliopsida; Cucurbitales; Cucurbitaceae.